CAGAACGAACGCUGGCGGCGCGUUUAAGCAUGCAAGUCGAGCGGCAAGGGCCUUCGGGCCCCUAGAGCGGCGGACGGGUGAGUAACACGUGGACAAUCUGCCCCCCGGCCCGGGAUAGCCCAGGGAAACCUGGAUUAAUACCGGAUGAGACGGGACCCGCGAUGGCGGGAUCCGGGAAAGGCGCUGCGGCGCCGCCGGGGGAUGAGUCUGCGUCCCAUUAGCUAGACGGCGGGGUAACGGCCCACCGUGGCGACGAUGGGUAGCCGGCCUGAGAGGGUGGACGGCCACAUUGGAACUGAGACACGGUCCAGACUCCUACGGGAGGCAGCAGCUAAGAAUCUUCCGCAAUGGGCGAAAGCCUGACGGGAAGCGACGCCGCGUGAACGAAGAAGGCCGUGAGGUUGUAAAGUUCUUUUCGGGAGGGGAACAACCGUGGCAGGGAAUGGCCGCGGGAUGACGUGAAUCCCGGAAUAAGCCCCGGCUAACUACGUGCCAGCCGCCGC
This 503-nucleotide ribosomal RNA is filed under the name uncultured bacterium. RNAcentral describes it as "bacterial SSU rRNA". It matches the Rfam family "Bacterial small subunit ribosomal RNA", at positions 25 to 518 of the family's 1533-position model. The record is from RNAcentral.